This is a long non-coding RNA of Nanorana parkeri, 104 nucleotides long. RefSeq lists it as uncharacterized. The record is from RefSeq and is a predicted model, not a curated record. Lineage: Eukaryota; Metazoa; Chordata; Amphibia; Anura; Dicroglossidae. The transcript has 3 exons.
UUGAUAAAUUACUAUGUGAGGAGCAAGUGUGUGCGGUGCCUGGGAGGUCGAUUGCGGAGAGUUUGAUUGGGGUGCGAGAUGUGUUGUGGCAUUGUAAGGAGGUG